UUAGGAAUUUUGGGCAAUGGGCGAAAGCCUGACCCAGCAACGCCGCGUGCGGGAGGAAGGCCUUCGGGUCGUAAACCGCUUUUGUCGGGGACGAUGAUGCCGGUACCCGACGAAGAAGCCCCGGCUAACUACGUGCCAGCAGCCGCGGUAAUACGUAGGGGGCGAGCGUUGUCCGGAAUCAUUGGGCGUAAAGGGCGCGUAGGCGGUAGAGCGCGUCGGCCGUGAAAACGCCGGGCUCAACCCGGCGCGGUCGGGCGAAACGGCUCUGCUGGAGGCCGGUAGAGGGUCGUGGAAUUCCGGGUGUAGUGGUGGAAUGCGUAGAGCUCCGGAGGAACACCAGAGGCGAAGGCGGCGACCUGGGCCGGACCUGACGCUGAGGCGCGAAAGCGUGGGGAGCGAGCCG
This 403-nucleotide ribosomal RNA is filed under the name uncultured bacterium. RNAcentral describes it as "bacterial SSU rRNA". It matches the Rfam family "Bacterial small subunit ribosomal RNA", at positions 355 to 775 of the family's 1533-position model. The record is from RNAcentral.